Dermacentor albipictus is the source of this 1627-nucleotide long non-coding RNA. RefSeq lists it as uncharacterized. The record is from RefSeq and is a predicted model, not a curated record. Lineage: Eukaryota; Metazoa; Arthropoda; Arachnida; Ixodida; Ixodidae.
GCUAUAUCUACAGGUUCCAAAUCCAAAUCCAAAUCCAAGCUGGCACAGUUUAUGUGAACCGCAGCCGGAAACAAAAUUUUGAUGCCUACCGUCGUACUGGUCUUACGGGAAGAAGUGAACUGCUGCAGGAAUCGGAACCGGAAGCCCUACCAGGAACCAAACUCUACCCAGGAAACGAACCAUCAGGAAUGGCGGCGUUUGAAUUAAUCGCGAAGACACUAUCAGUGCUGCAGGACGGAACAUAAGCACUGACCAAGAGUUACAAAGGAGUUGAUGUGACCAUUGUGAUUGGAAAGCGUGUAUACCUGUAUACGAGUCGGACGCUCCAUCUGAGAGGCAUCAAGUUAGGGCGUUGGCUGGUUGCCUGCACGUUCAGCCUUCUCCGCUGGAUCCUGUUUUUCCCAUCGACGCCCAUCUUCCUGCUUCUCGUAUUGGUGCUGCUGAGUUUGGUGUUCCGAAGGUGGUGCUUAGGCGAAGAUCGGGCCUCGGAGGGAACCAGGAUCGCCCGUGCAGGACCUCGCUGUCUCACUCGACCUACCAGUGUCGAGGAGGAAGCAUGUUUUACGCUGGCUAGACGCGUCCGCAAUCAUCUGCGUUGCACCAGGCACGACGCCCACCACUGCUUCACAAGGAGGACCGCCGAGGGUGGCGUCAUGACCGAGCCGGUCGCUGCGAGAGUGAUUCAGCGCUGGGUCCGCGCCAGGUUCCAGCCGUGGGUCCGCGGACGGGUGGUUCACAGCGCCAGCCCAUCAAGACCUCAGAGGGCUCCAGGCUGGAUAGACAGGGAUGCCGGUGCCAGAGUCGUCACCCUCGUAGGCCAUAAUGGCACGUCGACCAUCGGACUCCAGCAUCCUGGCGAUGCUUCCUUGGUGGAAACCCACUUGGACUAGCACCUACACCAUGUACGAAGCACCCAUGGCCGACGCCGAUCGCGCGAUCCACAGCUUGCCCAAAUGUUGCGGAGACGCGACGACUUCCUAUUCGCGCAUUCUUUCCGCAGACCAAAUUGAUGGGUGCUUGCUGGAAGAGGCAGCGUCAGUGGUCCAAGUGAUUGCGGCCCCUCUACGAGAAAACUAGCACUGACUUUCAGGGGCUGUAGGACUCACGUCGAUACUUAUGCGUAAGAUGGCACGACAAAACAAAAACGAAAAUUGCACAGCGUUAUAAUAUAACGAGUACGAAGCACGAAACGACCGUCUCGUUGUAGGUUAUAAAAGAAAUAUUGAGAUAGACAACAUGAACCAAUAGGCACGUACUUGAUUUCGCCUCAGCGGUCUCCAUUCGCGUAAAUGAAUGACGAAUAUAAUUGUUCCAGGAAUCAUAAUUCAGGAUGGUUGUUUCGAAUGCUAAUUGUAUUACAAAGCAUUGGUGGCAUUUUAAGAGGGCUAAACAUAAAUUAAAGAACAGCUUUAGGCAGGGCUGAGGCCUGGCACGGAGGAUGGGUUAUGUGCGAUGGUGAAAGCAGACGCUAGCUCUAGUAUGCAAGGCUAAGCAAAUGUGCUUUGUGUUUUGUUGGCCGGGAAAAAAAUGGGCACAGUUGCAUCAGGAACCAAUGAUGCGUGCUCUAUGUGGCGUGUGUGCCCAUGGAAGAUGUUUUUUUUUCACUGCCUAACCCAGCCUGCGUGAU